Molecule: long non-coding RNA, 107 nt
Organism: Etheostoma cragini (Arkansas darter)
Lineage: Eukaryota; Metazoa; Chordata; Actinopteri; Perciformes; Percidae
Exons: 3
Source: RefSeq, a predicted model, not a curated record
UAUUUUCAUGGGAGGAAGUUAUGUGUUGGCUUCUUGAGCCGUGUGUUGCCAAUGCGCACAUCGGUUUGAAUUAUGUUUUCAUAUUUGUUUUUAUUUGCUCUCAUGAU